CCUACGGGAGGCAGCAGUGAGGAAUAUUGGUCAAUGGACGAGAGUCUGAACCAGCCAAGUAGCGUGAAGGAUGACUGCCCUAUGGGUUGUAAACUUCUUUUAUAAAGGAAUAAAACGAGGCAAGUGUGCCUUUUUGCAUGUACUUUAUGAAUAAGGAUCGGCUAACUCCGUGCCAGCAGCCGCGGUAAUACGGAGGAUCCGAGCGUUAUCCGGAUUUAGUGGGUUUAAAGGGAGCGUAGAUGGGUUUUUAAGUCAGUUGUGAAAGUUUGCGGCUCAACCGUAAAAUUGCAAUUGAUACUGGCAGUCUUGAGUACAGUUGAGGUAGGCGGAAUUCGUGGUGUAGCGGUGAAAUGCUUAGAUAUCACGAAGAACCCCGAUUGCGAAGGCAGCUUACUAAACUGUGACUGACAUUGAUGCUCGAAAGUGUGGGUAUCAAACAGGAUUAGAUACCCCUGUAGUC
This 460-nucleotide ribosomal RNA is filed under the name uncultured bacterium. RNAcentral's name for it is "partial 16S ribosomal RNA". It matches the Rfam family "Bacterial small subunit ribosomal RNA", at positions 338 to 795 of the family's 1533-position model. The record is from RNAcentral.